AGAGCUGCUCGGGAUAUCCUUCUGUUCGUAGUGCGAGUGUACUUACUUUUUUUUUUUUUUUUUUUUUUUUUUUUUUUUUUUUUUGAGACGGAGUCUCGCUCUGUCGCCCAGGCUGGAGUGCAGUGGCACGAUCUCAGCUCACUGCAAGCUCCGCCUCCCGGGUUCACACCAUUCUCCUGCCUCAGCCUCCCGGGUGGCUGGGACUACAGGCGCCCGCCACCACGCCCGGCUAAUUUUUUUUUAUAUUUUUAGUAGAGAUGGGGUUUCACUGUGGCCUCCAUCUCCUGACCUCGUGAUCCGCCCACCUCGGCCUCCCGAAGUGCUGGAUUACAAGCGUGAGCCACUGCGCCCAGCCGCGAGUGUACUUAUUAUUACUAGUUUUCACUUACCUAAUUUUUACAGGAGCGGCCCUUGCCUAGGUCUCUACUCUCUCCUACCAUUCUUCCUGUCCAAUAAUUCUGCUCGUUUUGCUCCUUAAAACAGUGAAAUUUUGCUCAGAUUGAGAAAGUAAAAGUUGGCCUUCCCCAACAUCCACGGAUGAAUGCUAAAAUUAGUAGGCAGAACUUGAAGCCGAAACAGGAUAUAUGCAAAGUUUCAAAACAUCUCUACUAAAAUGUUUAGUAAUUAGGCCGGGCACGGUGACUCACGCCUGUAAUUCCAGCGCUUUAGGAGGCCGAGGCGGGUGGAUCACCUGAGGUCAGGAGUUCGAGACCAGCCUGGCCAACAUGGUGAAACCCCGUCUAUACUAAAGAUACAAAAAAUUAGCCGGGCGUGGUGGCAGGCGCCUGUAAUUCCAGCUACUUGGGGUGGCUGAGGCAGGAGAAUCGCUUGAACCU
RNAcentral lists this long non-coding RNA (836 nucleotides) under Homo sapiens (human). Its description in RNAcentral is "HSALNT0314554". The record is from RNAcentral. Lineage: Eukaryota; Metazoa; Chordata; Mammalia; Primates; Hominidae.